Long non-coding RNA from Oncorhynchus keta (chum salmon), 262 nucleotides. RefSeq lists it as uncharacterized. NCBI's taxonomy places the organism in Eukaryota, Metazoa, Chordata, Actinopteri, Salmoniformes, Salmonidae. The transcript is spliced from 3 exons. The record is from RefSeq and is a predicted model, not a curated record.
ACAACAGAUGGAGAUGUUGAAGACACCAUAAACAACAGAUGGAGAUGUUGAAGACACCAUAAACAACAGAUGGAGGUGUUGAAGACACUAUAAACAACAGAUGGAGAUGUUGAAGACACCAUAAACAACAGAUGGAGGUGUUGAAGACACCAUAAACAACAGAUGGAGAUGUUGAAGACACCAUAAACAACAGCAAAUCUUGUCGUAACCUGAUCAACUUCUUUCAACAGACCUGGGUGGUCUGAUGGUGAGUCAAUCAACC